RNAcentral lists this ribosomal RNA (101 nucleotides) under Lactobacillus sp. YW. RNAcentral's name for it is "partial 16S rRNA". Lineage: Bacteria; Bacillati; Bacillota; Bacilli; Lactobacillales; Lactobacillaceae. The record is from RNAcentral.
UUCGGGGAACCAGGCCGUUCUAAGGGUGGGGACAGAUGAUUAGGGGUGAAGUCGGUAACAAGGUAGCCGCUAGGAGAACCUGCGGCUGGAUCACCUCCUUU